Molecule: long non-coding RNA, 3138 nt
Organism: Globicephala melas (long-finned pilot whale)
Lineage: Eukaryota; Metazoa; Chordata; Mammalia; Artiodactyla; Delphinidae
Source: RefSeq, a predicted model, not a curated record
GGAAUCUAGGUUGCACGCUCUUUAUGAGAAUCUAAUGCCUGAAGAGCUGAGGUGGAGCUGAGGCCAUCCCAUCACCCCCAGAUGGGACCUCUAGUUGCAGGAAAACAAGCUCAGGGCUCCCACUGAUUCUGCAUUAUGGUAACUCCUUCCCUGGAUGUGGUAUCUGCCAUUCUCAUGAAAGCUUUUAUACAUGCUAUAUAUAGCUAUAUUGAUGACUGCCACAUCCUUUUUGCAAUAAAGGCAUUUUUCCUCUCGAAACGGACAGUCUGCGCUCAAAUGCUCUUUCAGAUCUUUGCGAAGGACUGGCUCCCGACAGCUCUCAUUAGAGCACUGCACAGCUUGGAAUAAGCAGUGCUGAAGACACGCCAAUUAAUUUACCAGCUCCUCAAGGACAUUUCUUUUGUGCACCCUCCAUCCCCACCUCCAGCACCAAGUACUAAUCUCUGCACAGCAGAUGGUAAAAGCCGGAACAGAGGGCAAAGAGGGAAGAAGAGAAGGCUACCUCCUAAGUAAGUGAAGGAAGGGGAAGGACUAAAGGAAAGAAAGGGAGGGAGAGGAAGCUCUUCCAGAAGCGGUAAAGAAAACGAUAAAGGAAUACAGGAUCACAGGCCCAGGAGAAGCUGGGAUGGGUCAUCCUUGUCAAGUCAGGAAAUGUUCUUGACCAGAAUAUUAGAGAAUGGUGACUCAGACAGUGUUCUUCAUGUUACAGAUUUUUAAAAGCAGGCAUGUCUUAACAGAACCUGUGGAUAACACUGCAAGUUACUGUGGUGCUGACAAGGUAUCAAAAUCCUAAGGAGUUUGUUCCCCACCACAAGAUCCUUUAAAACAGGGUUGGCAAGCUAUGGCCCUUGGGCCAAAUCUGGCCUGCUACUUGUUUCUGUAAAUAAAGUUUUAUGGAGAACAGCCACACCUAUGUCUCACAUAAUGGCUAUGGCUGCUUUCCCUCUGAGUAGCUGCGACAGACACUGUAUGGCUGGCAAAGCUUAAAAUAUUUACUGUCUGGCUCCUGACAGAAACAGUUUGCUGACCCCUUAAGAGAACACACAGUUUUACUAUAGGAUGUAAAUAAAUAUUAUAGCUUUUCUCCUUUGCCUCUAGUAAUGAGAGACAGUGACAACUGACAUCUACAUCUUCUCCAAAAUCCAUGGAUGCUACCCCUCAGCUCUCAUCAAAACCAUCAACAUUCAUCAAGACUCUGCUACCUGUGAGAUCCUACACCUUACUCGCAAGGUGAAGGAGAACAGGGAAUGAGAGGAAAUACAAAAGAAACAGGUGAAAAUAAACCAGCCACUGUUCUCCAGAAGCUGAGGAUCUGGUCACUAGAGCUGAUCAAUGAGCCUCAUUUCCUGUACAGGCUUAGUGACAACAAAGUUGGUAAAGAGGCCCUGCUUGCUCUAGGACCUGACUAUCAAAACAAGUGGCGAGGGACUGUCUUAGGAAAACACAAAAACCUUCUGUGAACUUCCAGAGAAAUUCUUGGGUUAGCAAGGGAAUCAUUUACACAUUUAUGAGCUCAGUGCCUAGGGGUGUAGAGGCACGAUGGGGAAAAGACUGAAUCACCUGAAAUACAUUCCAAAAUGUGUGGCUGGGAAGGGAAACUUGUAGCAUCCUCCUAGCAAUUCCCUGGAAGCUAGAGAUGCUUGCCUCGUAUUCAUUCAUAGUGUGAUUGAACCUGACAUGGGCUUGCUGUGGCGAAGCCACGUUUCCUGCUUUCCAUUUAACAACCUUCCACCUCUGGAUGCAAGAGCAAGGUAGGACAGCUUCAUCUGAAAGGAACUCGACAACCCUUCACCUCCCCUACACCUCGUUUGCUUGCAUCUCAUACCAAUGCUUCGCCUUUACACUACAUUCUAGCUCUGUUCUGGUCUGUGUCAUCUGCCUUAGAUCACAACCUCUAAGACAGCAGGGCCCACAGCGGCUAGGAGACACCCGCCCCAGCACCUGCAAAUGCUUCCAGGCAGGGACCCUUACAAUUGUGUCUUUCUGCAGUCAUGCCCUGGCUCCCAUCCUAGGAAUCCCCAAUCCUUCACAGUUUUCCAAAACUGACGUGUCCUUGCUCGACCAUUUCUUUUGCCCAGCAUGUCUCACAUCUUCUCUUUUGGAUCAAUAACCCUAACCCACAAGUUGAGGUCUAGCACACAUGGUAUGUCCUCCAUGUGUUCCAUACAAAAUGAAUCUCUUCACGUGAGAUUAAUUUCACACCUUAGCCCUCGGUGGGCUGCACUGUAGCCAAGUGUACCUCUAGACAAGAAUUCUCUGAGGGCAACCCAAUGAAUCUCCGUACCAUGCUUAGCCCACUAACUGUCACAUAAAAAUGUUCAGUACAUGUCACUGGAGAAAUAGCAAAGGCAAAUAUUGUCCACCAGUAAUACCAACCUGGUAUCGUCCCAGAAUAACCUUGGCAUUACAUCCAGGAGCAUUUUUGCAAAAUACAUAUAAAUUGAGGACUUCUCUUCUGCAGCAAUUGUCUUUAAACACCUAAAAGAUAAACAAAGUAGGUCUCACACACUCCAAAGCUUUAGAGCAACGUGAAGGAAGCUAUUAUUAAUUUGGUCUUCAAGUACAUCUCAAAAGUUGGGUGGAAACUUCCAGUCAGUGGUUGGAAUGGAAAUACCAGAUUCACCACCGUAAAAGAAAAGGCUGUCUCAGAUACAUCUGACAGGCCACCAAACAUACAAGCCAGGUAAUUUAAUGCUUAGUGCAGUAGGCUGAAGCUAGGAGAAUCUCGUGGUGAACUUGACCCCACAUGCUCAAAGGUCAAGAGGUGGGGCUGUGGAUGAGGGUGAUGCUUUCAGCUUCCUGUCCCAGGGUGAACGUUUGCAUUAGUCAUCAGGUGGUGUCACUGAAGCUGUGCUGACUUAUUUUUCAGCACAAGCCAGGGGUUGGCAAACUUUCUCCGUAAAGGGUCAGAGAGUAAAUAUUUUCAGCUUUGCCAACCACGUUGCAAUGUUCUCUGUUGCAACUAUUCAACCCUACUGUACCCGAUACUUAAAUGAAUGGGCAUGCCUGUGUUCCAAUAAAACGUCAUUUAUGGACACUGAAACGUGAAUUUCAUAUAAUUUUCACAUGUCACGAAACAUUAUCCUUCUUUUGAUUCAUAAAAUAAAUUUUUGUUUUGAAAUAAAGACUCACAAGAAG